RNAcentral lists this ribosomal RNA (466 nucleotides) under uncultured bacterium. Its description in RNAcentral is "bacterial SSU rRNA". It matches the Rfam family "Bacterial small subunit ribosomal RNA", at positions 28 to 507 of the family's 1533-position model. The record is from RNAcentral.
GACGAACGCUGGCGGCACGCUUAACACAUGCAAGCCGAACGGAGAUAAUUUGAGUUUACUUAGAUUAUCUUAGUGGCGGACGGGUGAGUAACACGUGAGCAACCUACCUUUGAGAGAGGGAUAGCUUCUGGAAACGGAUGGUAAUACCUCAUAACGUAGUUUUACCGCAUGAUAGGACUACCAAAGAUUUAUCACUCAAAGAUGGGCUCGCGUCUGAUUAGCUAGAUGGUGAGGUAACGGCUCACCAUGGCGACGAUCAGUAGCCGGACUGAGAGGUUGAACGGCCACAUUGGGACUGAGACACGGCCCAGACUCCUACGGGAGGCAGCAGUGGGGAAUAUUGCACAAUGGGGGAAACCCUGAUGCAGCGAUGCCGCGUGGAGGAAGAAGGUUUUCGGAUUGUAAACUCCUGUCUUAAAGGACGAUAAUGACGGUACUUUAGGAGGAAGCUCCGGCUAACUACGUG